UCGAACGGCAGCACGGCUAGUUUACAGAUGGGUGGCGAGUGGCGGACGGGUGAGUAAUGCGCAGGAAUAUGCCUUAAAGUGGGGGACAACUUGGGGAAACUCAAGCUAAUACCGCAUAAUCUCUUUGGAGAAAAGCUGGGGACCUUCGGGCCUGGCGCUUUAAGAUUAGCCUGCGUCCGAUUAGCUAGUUGGUAGGGUAAAGGCCUACAAAGGCGACGAUCGGUAGCUGGUCUGAGAGGAUGACCAGCCACACUGGAACUGAGACACGGUCCAGACUCC
This 279-nucleotide ribosomal RNA is filed under the name unidentified marine bacterioplankton. Its description in RNAcentral is "partial 16S ribosomal RNA". It matches the Rfam family "Bacterial small subunit ribosomal RNA", at positions 62 to 339 of the family's 1533-position model. RNAcentral also lists the same sequence under 1 other name. The record is from RNAcentral.